This 253-nucleotide ribosomal RNA is filed under the name uncultured bacterium. RNAcentral's name for it is "partial 16S ribosomal RNA". It matches the Rfam family "Bacterial small subunit ribosomal RNA", at positions 524 to 776 of the family's 1533-position model. The record is from RNAcentral.
UACGGAGGGUGCAAACGUUGCUCGGAAUCAUUGGGCGUAAAGCGUACGUAGGCGGCCCACCAAGUCUGAUGUGAAAGCCCGGGGCUCAACCUCGGAAUGCCAUUGGAAACUGGUGGACUUGAGAAUAGGAGGGGUAAGUGGUAUUUCUGGUGUAGGGGUGAAAUCCGUAGAGAUCAGAAGGAACACCGGUGGCGAAGGCGACUUACUGGACUAUUUCUGACGCUGAUGUACGAAAGCAUGGGGAGCAAACAGG